CCCUUAACCAACAGUGCAGUUCAAGAAGAAGAAAAUAUUUACCAAGGAGACUAAAAUACAAAGUUAUAAUAAAAAGUAACACAAUAAGAACAACAAUAAUGAGGUUAAAUACAGGGGGAACCGGUACCGAGCCAGUGUGGAGGUUAUAUACAGGGGGUACCGGUACAGAGUCAAUGUGGAGGUUAUAUACAGGGGGUACUGGUACAGAGUCAAUGUGGAGGCUAUAUACAGGGGGUACUGGUACAGAGUCAAUGUGGAGGCUAUAUACAGGGGGUCCUGGUACAGAGUCAAUGUGGAGGCUAUAUACAGGGGGUACCGGUACAGAGUCAGUGUGGAGGUUAUAUACAGGGGGUACCGGUACAGAGUCAAUGUGGAGGCUAUAUACAGGGGGUCCUGGUACAGAGUCAAUGUGGAGGCUAUAUACAGGGGGUACCGGUACAGAGUCAAUGUGGAGGCUAUAUACAGGGGUACAGAGUCAAUGUGGAGGCUAUAUACAGGAGUACUGGUACAGAGUCAAUGUGGAGGCUAUAUACAGGAGUACUGGUACAGAGUCAAUGUGGAGGCUAUAUACAGGGGGUACUGGUACAGAGUCAAUGUGGAGGCUAUAUACAGGGGUACUGGUACAGAGUCAAUGUGGAGGCUAUAUACAGGGGUACCGGUACAGAGUCAAUGUGGAGGCUAUAUACAGGGGGUACCGGUACAGAGUCAAUGUGGAGGCUAUAUACAGGGGUCCUGGUACAGAGUCAAUG
This is a long non-coding RNA of Oncorhynchus tshawytscha (Chinook salmon), 749 nucleotides long. Lineage: Eukaryota; Metazoa; Chordata; Actinopteri; Salmoniformes; Salmonidae. The record is from Ensembl.